This 800-nucleotide ribosomal RNA is filed under the name uncultured ciliate. RNAcentral describes it as "SSU rRNA". It matches the Rfam family "Eukaryotic small subunit ribosomal RNA", at positions 1 to 820 of the family's 1831-position model. The record is from RNAcentral. Lineage: Eukaryota; Ciliophora.
AACCUGGUUGAUCCUGCCAGUAGUCAUACGCUUGUCUCAAAGAUUAAGCCAUGCAUGUCUAAGUAUAAGUAUUAUACAGCGAAACUGCGAAUGGCUCAUUAAAACAGUUAUGGUUUAUUUGAUAAUCGAAUUUUACAUGGAUAACCGUGGUAAUUCUAGAGCUAAUACAUGCUGGUGUGCCUGACUUUUCGGAAGGGCGGUAUUUAUUAGAUAACGAACCAAUAUUCCUCUGGUCUAUUGUGGUGAAUCAUAAUAACUGAUCGAAUCGCAAAGCCUUUGGCUGCGAUAUGUCAUUCAAGUUUCUGCCCCAUCAGCUUUCGAUGGUAGUGUAUUGGACUACCAUGGCUUUUACGGGUAACGGAGAAUUAGGGUUCGAUUCCGGAGAGGGAGCCUGAGAAACGGCUACCACAUCUAAGGAAGGCAGCAGGCGCGUAAAUUACCCAAUCCUGACUCAGGGAGGUGGUGACAAGAAAUAACGGACCGGCCCUUUAGGCUCGGGAUUGCAAUGAGCCGAAUUUACACCCCUUAGCGAGGACCCAUUGGAGGGCAAGUCUGGUGCCGGCAGCCGCGGUAAUUCCAGCUCCAAUAGCGUAUAUUAAAGUUGUUGCAGUUAAAAAGCUCGUAGUUGGAUUUCUGGGGAGGUGCCAAUGUCACCUUAGUGUUGCGCAGCGGCGCCUCUCCAUCCUUCUGUUAACGUCGUUGGACCUUAAUCAGUCUGCGGCGGGCUCAGAUAUUUUACCUUGAGAAAAUUAGAGUGUUUCAGGCAGGCCAGGCCGGAAUACAUUAGCAUGGAAUAAUGG